CCUACGGGGGGCAGCAGUGAGGAAUAUUGGUCAAUGGCCGCGAGCCUGAACCAGCCAAGUAGCGUGAGGGAUGACUGCCCUACGGGUUGUAAACUUCUUUUGUCAGGGAAUAAAGUGAGGCACGUGUGCCUUUUUGUGUGUACUUUAUGAAUAAGGAUCGGCUAACUCCGUGCCAGCAGCCGCGGUAAUACGGAGGAUUCGAGCGUUAUCCGGAUUUAUUGGGUUUAAAGGGAGCGUAGGUGGGUUGUUAAGUCAGUUGUGAAAGUUUGCGGCUCAACCGUAAAAUUGCCAUUGAUACUGGCAGUCUUGAGUACAGUUGAGGUAGGCGGAAUUCGUGGUGUAGCGGUGAAAUGCUUAGAUAUCACGAAGAACUCCGAUUGCGAAGGCAGCUUACCAAACCGCAACUGACAUUGAUGCUCGAAAGCGUGGGUAUCAAACAGGAUUAGAUACCCCAGUAGUC
This 460-nucleotide ribosomal RNA is filed under the name uncultured bacterium. Its description in RNAcentral is "partial 16S ribosomal RNA". It matches the Rfam family "Bacterial small subunit ribosomal RNA", at positions 338 to 795 of the family's 1533-position model. The record is from RNAcentral.